This 319-nucleotide unclassified non-coding RNA is filed under the name uncultured fungus. RNAcentral describes it as "partial contains 5.8S ribosomal RNA and internal transcribed spacer 2". The stretch from base 1 to 133 matches the Rfam family "5.8S ribosomal RNA", at positions 22 to 154 of the family's 154-position model. The record is from RNAcentral. Lineage: Eukaryota; Fungi.
UGGCUCUGGCAUCGAUGAAGAACGCAGCGAAAUGCGAUAAGUAAUGUGAAUUGCAGAAUUCAGUGAAUCAUCGAAUCUUUGAACGCACAUUGCGCCCUCUGGUAUUCCGGAGGGCAUGCCUGUUCGAGCGUCAUUAUCUCCCCUCAAGCUCAGCUUGGUGUUGGGGCCUGCUCCCUGUGGGCAGCCCUUAAAAUCAGUGGCGGUGGGCGUCUGACUCUAAGCGUAGUAACUAUCUCUCGCUAUAGGUUCAGGCGGUCGCUUGCCAUAACCCCCCAAUUUUUUAAUGAUUGACCUCGGAUCAGGUAGGGAUACCCGCUGA